Molecule: long non-coding RNA, 701 nt
Organism: Esox lucius (northern pike)
Lineage: Eukaryota; Metazoa; Chordata; Actinopteri; Esociformes; Esocidae
Source: Ensembl
GGUUGAUUGCCCGGGUGACUGGGGAGAACACUGACAGCCACUGCGGUUCCACUGAGACCUUCAGCCGCAGAGACCAAAGACCAGCAACAUCAGACAGCCAAAUUACCUGCCCUGUAAUUGGUCCUCAGGCGCUGAUGAAUGUGGCCAUAAGAACGGGCAGGCAGCGCAUGUUUUUAAACGUUUGCAUUCCGUAGUCGAUCCCCUGACCGCUACAGUGAAUAGGAAUUUGCAGACAAGCUGCUCACAAACCAGCCCCUGGUUCAUCCGUGGCGGAAACUGUCCAUCUGGCCAGAGGAGGAGCCAGAUGCUGGGGAUUUAGAGGCUGAUUUGGUCCUGCAUUUUGACCCACCCCUCCCCCUUUACACUGACCCUUUCAGCUGACCACACCCCCUCCCCCCAGGGGCCAGCUGCCGGCUGCACCAGACCAGCCCAGAUGUUCAUCUGGAGACACUCAUCUGGCUUUGACCACAGAUUUCACCAUCAGUUGACUGACAAAACACAUGUAGAGAUUCAGCCGGGGCAGAUCAUUUGGUUCUGAAGCAAGAGAGACAGGCGGGGACUUGUCAGGCUGAAUGGCCCCAAAGCACUCAGACAUUAAGCCCUUCAAACAUCCAGAGGGACUGCCUCUGGUGCUGGCUGCACCUCUUGUGACCAACGUAAUGAGUUGAAACGAAUCGCACAUGAAUCAAAUCUGUCAAAAG